This 429-nucleotide ribosomal RNA is filed under the name bacterium. RNAcentral describes it as "partial 16S ribosomal RNA". It matches the Rfam family "Bacterial small subunit ribosomal RNA", at positions 355 to 776 of the family's 1533-position model. The record is from RNAcentral.
UAGGGAAUCUUCGGCAAUGGGGGCAACCCUGACCGAGCAACGCCGCGUGAGUGAAGAAGGUUUUCGGAUCGUAAAGCUCUGUUGUAAGAGAAGAACGUGUGUGAGAGUGGAAAGUUCACACAGUGACGGUAACUUACCAGAAAGGGACGGCUAACUACGUGCCAGCAGCCGCGGUAAUACGUAGGUCCCGAGCGUUGUCCGGAUUUAUUGGGCGUAAAGCGAGCGCAGGCGGUUUAAUAAGGCUGAAGUUAAAGGCAGUGGCUUAACCAUUGUUCGCUUUGGCAACGGUUAAACUUGAGUGCAGAAGUGGAGAGGGGAAUUCCAUGUGUAGCGGUGAAAUGCGUAGAUAUAUGGAGGAACACCGGUGGCGAAAGCGGCUCUCUGGUCUGUAACUGACGCUGAGGCUCGAAAGCGUGGGGAGCAAACAGG